CCGGUCGGCUGGCUGGGCAGAACGGGCGGCCAGUCGCCGACCGGCUCCGAUCGUGGCAACGCCCACCCGCCGGCGUUCGCCGCGUCGCCGUCCGGU
This 96-nucleotide transfer RNA is filed under the name Micromonospora qiuiae. RNAcentral's name for it is "tRNA-Gly". Lineage: Bacteria; Bacillati; Actinomycetota; Actinomycetes; Micromonosporales; Micromonosporaceae. The record is from RNAcentral.